UACAGAGGGUGCGAGCGUUGUCCGGAAUCACUGGGCGUAAAGGGCGCGUAGGCGGCCUGAUAAGUAGGGGGUGAAAUCCUGCGGCUUAACCGCAGGGCUGCCUUCUAAACUGUCAGGCUAGAGCACAGUAGAGGCAGGUGGAAUUCCCGGUGUAGCGGUGGAAUGCGUAGAGAUCGGGAAGAACAUCAGUGGCGAAGGCGGCCUGCUGGGCUGUUGCUGACGCUGAGGCGCGACAGCGUGGGGAGCGAACAGG
This 253-nucleotide ribosomal RNA is filed under the name uncultured bacterium. Its description in RNAcentral is "partial 16S ribosomal RNA". It matches the Rfam family "Bacterial small subunit ribosomal RNA", at positions 524 to 776 of the family's 1533-position model. The record is from RNAcentral.